UACACGCUGUGACUAGCAUAUCAAUAAGCGGAGGAAAAGAAACUAACAAGGAUUCCCCUAGUAACGGCGAGUGAAGCGGGAAGAGCUCAAAUUUGAAAUCUUAAAGGGUUUCCCUUUACGAAUUGUAGUUUAAAGAAGUGUUUUCUGUUGAGGUUUUGGUAAAAGUUCUUUGGAAUAGGACAUCAUAGAAGGGUGAGAAUCCCGUAUUUGACCUUUACUUUCAACUUUGUGAUACACUUUCAAAGAGUCGGAUUGUUUGGGAAUGCAGUCCAAAAUGGGUGGUAAAUUUCAUCUAAAGCUAAAUAUUGGCGAGAGACCGAUAGCGAACAAGUACCGUGAGGGAAAGAUGAAAAGAACUUUGAAAAGAGAGUUAAACAGUACGUGAAAGUUGUCAAAAGGGAAGCGUUUGACACCAGUGUUGUUUUUCUGAAAAUCAAUUAAAGAACUGUUUAUGCUAAGCUGUUUAGACUUUAUCAGCUAUCUGUUUAGUUUUGAGCUUUUCUUUAAUGCACUUUUCAGUUAACAAGUCAACAUCAAUUUCUUUUGCUGUAAAAAAGCUUGAGGAAGGUGGCUUGAGAUUCGUCUUAAGUGUUUAUAGCCUCUUGCCUAUGCAGUCGGAGAGAUUGAGGUCUGCAGCGUAGAUCCUUCGGGGCUAAAUGCAUUUGUGCUAAGUUAUAGCAUUUUAUAGACAACUUGUUGACUAUGAUUUGUCUUGUAGCUUACUCGCUUAUGCUAUUUUACCUACGCUUAGGAUGUUGAUAUGCAUGACUGAUAU
This 775-nucleotide ribosomal RNA is filed under the name uncultured Neocallimastigales. Its description in RNAcentral is "partial large subunit ribosomal RNA". It matches the Rfam family "Eukaryotic large subunit ribosomal RNA", at positions 22 to 640 of the family's 3401-position model. The record is from RNAcentral. Lineage: Eukaryota; Fungi; Neocallimastigomycota; Neocallimastigomycetes; Neocallimastigales.